This 250-nucleotide ribosomal RNA is filed under the name uncultured bacterium. RNAcentral's name for it is "partial 16S ribosomal RNA". It matches the Rfam family "Bacterial small subunit ribosomal RNA", at positions 524 to 773 of the family's 1533-position model. The record is from RNAcentral.
UACGUAGGGGGCGAGCGUUGUCCGGAAUUACUGGGCGUAAAGGGUGCGUAGGCGGUCUAUUAAGUCAGAUGUGAAAUACCUCGGCUCAACUGAGGGGUUGCAUUAGAGACUGGUAGGCUAGAGUGCAGGAGAGGGAAGUGGAAUUCCUAGUGUAGCGGUGAAAUGCGUAGAGAUUAGGAGGAACACCAGUGGCGAAGGCGGCUUCCUGGACUGUAACUGACGCUGAGGCACGAAAGCGUGGGUAGCGAAC